RNAcentral lists this unclassified non-coding RNA (351 nucleotides) under soil metagenome. RNAcentral's name for it is "partial contains 5.8S ribosomal RNA, internal transcribed spacer 2, and large subunit ribosomal RNA". The stretch from base 1 to 120 matches the Rfam family "5.8S ribosomal RNA", at positions 35 to 154 of the family's 154-position model. The record is from RNAcentral.
GAUGAAGAACGCAGCGAAAUGCGAUAAGUAAUGUGAAUUGCAGAAUUCAGUGAAUCAUCGAAUCUUUGAACGCACAUUGCGCCCGCCAGUAUUCUGGCGGGCAUGCCUGUUCGAGCGUCAUUACAACCCUCAGGCCCCCGGGCCUGGCGUUGGGGAUCGGCGGAGCCCCCGUGGGCACACGCCGUCCCCCAAAUACAGUGGCGGUCCCGCCGCAGCUUCCAUCGCGUAGUAGCUAACACCUCGCGACUGGAGAGCGGCGCGGCCACGCCGUAAAACACCCAACUCUUCUGAAGUUGACCUCGAAUCAGGUAGGAAUACCCGCUGAACUUAAGCAUAUCAAUAAGCGGAGGA